CACCUACGGGUGGCAGCAGUCGAGAAUAAUCCGCAAUGGGCGAAAGCCUGAUCCAGCGACGCCGCGUGUAGGAAGAAGUCCCUCGGGAUGUAAACUACUGUCAGGGACCACCAAGCAACCGGGGCUAAUAUCCCCGGAAGUUGAGGAGUCCCAGAGGAAGCCACGGCUAACUUCGUGCCAGCAGCCGCGGUAAUACGAAGGUGGCAAGCGUUGUUCGGAAUCACUGGGCUUAAAGAGCAUGUAGGCGGCUCAUCAAGCGUCUUGUGAAAUCCCUCGGCUCAACCGAGGAAUGGCUGGGCGAACUGAUGGGCUUGAGGCAGGUAGGGGCACACGGAACUCUUGGUGGAGCGGUGGAAUGCGUAGAUAUCAAGAGGAACGCCGGUGGCGAAGGCGGUGUGCUGGGCCUGUCCUGACGCUGAGAUGCGAAAGCCAGGGGAGCAAACGGGAUUAGAUACCCCGGUAGUCCUGGCCCUAAACGAUGUCCACUAGGUCGAAGUCUCUCUGACGGGUUUUCGGCCGAAACAAAAGCGUUAAGUGGACCGCCUGGGGAGUACGGUCGCAAGGCUAAAACUCAAAGGAAUUGACGGGGGCUCACACAAGCGGUGGAG
RNAcentral lists this ribosomal RNA (608 nucleotides) under uncultured bacterium. Its description in RNAcentral is "bacterial SSU rRNA". It matches the Rfam family "Bacterial small subunit ribosomal RNA", at positions 335 to 937 of the family's 1533-position model. The record is from RNAcentral.